This is a long non-coding RNA of Passer montanus (Eurasian tree sparrow), 12102 nucleotides long. RefSeq lists it as uncharacterized. NCBI's taxonomy places the organism in Eukaryota, Metazoa, Chordata, Aves, Passeriformes, Passeridae. The record is from RefSeq and is a predicted model, not a curated record. The transcript has 6 exons.
GUUUUCUUGGUUGGGUUUUUUCUUUGCAGAAUAUUCUGCUACUCUGGUUGCUGCUGAUGCUGAUAUAAUUUCUGUCGUGGCGUGUGAUGAAUAGCAUGAACAAUUCUGGGUUGAGAUAAGAGCCAACAGUGUGCUGGAAAGCCUCCUCUAAAUAUGAAUCCCUGUGGUUCUGACUUUCUUGACAGAGAGAUGGCUAAAUUGACGUGCUUGGUACCAUUUACACCGCUGCCAAAGCUGCUGAUCACCAUCGUCUUCUCUCCUCCCAUAGCACCUGCUGGCAAAUCUUCUGGGUUUUUUCCUGUUUACUUGGCUAUUUCUAGUGUAGUGAUAGGAAUAGUUUCCAUUCAUGAAGAAUGUGGUGGGGUAGAGAUGGUUAUAAGGGAUAGGAAGCGGUACACUGGGACUAAGGAGCAAGCACUAAAAUAUGUUUUACAUCCAUGGGAGCUGGCUGUGUGUGGUACCCCACCGAGAGCAUUCCCACUGUGCUCAGCAAAUGGAUGAUGGGGGGGUUUUAUUGCUGUGUUUAAGGCCCUGGCAAAUCUGAGAGGCUCAUCCCAAGUCCAGCUGCUGAGCCUUUGGAAAGCAGGGAUGCAUCUUGGCAGUGUAUCUCACCACGGCAUGGAUAUUUUCCUGGACCAGCCACAGGAAUGGUCACAGUGUCCUCCUCUAAACUCUAGUGUGGAGGAUGGCUAUUGCCACCCACACACUUCCUGCAAUUUCUGCUUAAACACAGUGAUCUUUACUUGCUGCCUGCGGUUGAUGGAUUGGUAUCUUUCAUCCAGAGCACCAUCAAGAGUAAAGAAAAAUUGUAUGGUGAUCAUGGGAAGUCUGACUGGGAAGCGUGUGAUGGAGGCCAUCAAGUUUUAAACUUCAAGGAACCCUUUGAAAUCCCAGGGUUUCCCAUGUGCUGCCUGGUCACUGUUUCCAUCAGCUGUCCCUUCACCAGAUUCCUGGGAAGAUGUCACCUGGCAAUUACAUGCACCACAGGUUCCCCGAGGUUCAUGCUCUUCCUUGCAGAGCCUUGCAAAGCUUCCAGGAUGGUUGGGACUGACUGAAGAGCAGUAGGAGUUGCUUUAUCCUCCUCUUCCUCUCCAGGCUACAUUCCCUGCUAAUACAGGCAGCUCCCUCCUGUGCUGAGGGUAGUUUCCAUGGAGUCAGGAAAUAUGAGAAGCAGAGAAGUGGGAAACUCUGGAUCUGCUAGACAAGCCUCGACUCUCCUUGGGGGCCUGAAUGUGUGCAAAAGCUGUGGGUGGUCUGAAUUUUGGGUGCUUGAGCAGGAGGCUUCGGAUGUUGGUGUGGAUAUCCAAGCUGCUUUGAGAAUACUUUAGGCUGAAUGAGAAGUGAAUUCCCUAAAUCUCUCCCCCAGGGUCUCACUGACUUUCAGCAAAAUCAUCCCUCAGAGGCCACUCAGCAAUCUUCAUUCAUGGAGUUCUCAGUGAUGCUCUGCUGAAGAGUCCCCUUUGAAAAGGUUUUUGUGCUGUAAUCUGCUGGCUGGUUACUCAACUGGUGCAGCUUACAGACCUCCGCUGGUUGUUGCACGUCUUUUAAUUUUUAAGGGUUUAUUUCAGCUCCUUUGUGAAGUGUAAGGAAAUGGAUGAUUAGCAAAAUUCUUCCCAGUAUUUUAGAAGCAUUAGUAAAUGUUGAAUAAAGGGCAAUCACACUGUUGUUUUCAUGGGAACUGUGAAAUAAAGACUGCUAGAUUAGGUGCAAUCCUGAUCUUAAAGUCACAAUUCUUACACAAUGUUUUUUGCACUCUGGUGCAAAAACUCGUAUGUGAGAAUGUGUGCUAGCAAUGAGCCAAGUAAUUCAGCACUGCAGGAAUCCCACCAACUUCAUCUCCAAGCUGGUAAUGAACAUGGGCCUGGACACGUCCAACUGAUGUGUUUGCCUGCAGAAAUUAUCUAUGUGCAGUCAAUGACAGCAGCAUCCUUCAGAUGUUGGGUUUGAUGCAGUGAGCAUACGUGACACUUCUGCUUUGCUUCCUCUUCUUGCUGUGCCCUGGACUCAGCUGUGCUCUCCUUUCUGUAAUCUAGCCAGAGACACCCUGUUCCUGGGAAAAGGCACCCUGGGCCUGGAAAAAGGCGAGCUGGGCUGCUGUGUUGGAGAACUUAUGUCAGCCUCCAGCAGCUAGCUGAUCCCCUGUGCCUUGCUGCUUUUUGCACGGCUUCGGUACCUUGAGCCAGUGUGUUUCCAGCUGGCAGUGGUGUGCCUGAGCAUGGCUGAACAGCAACUGCUUGGAGGACCAGAGCGGUGUGGUUGGAGCAGAGGUGCUUGCUGACGUAGCUGACUAGAUGAACUGGUUGACUGGUUAAACACUGGUGGCAAAAGAACUUGCAAAGCUGCUUUGCAGAAGUGGGUGGGUCUCAGCCACAUCCUCACUGGCUUUGGUAUUUAUCCUCAAGCCUGAUUUCCAUUUUCUGUACACCCCUUGCUUUCUGCUCUCCUUCUUUUUUGGUAGGAGAUGUCAGCCAGUAUGUUGUGGCAGCCUGCCAGAAGUGACUGGAGACAUUUGCUGGAUGAACAAAGCCUAUCCACUCCCUGUCCAGCCUGACAAUGACACAGAAGGCAUGGGGCACCCAGUCACAGUCCUGUUGCUCAUCUUUCAAACUGCAGGAGAUGAAUGGUAAUGUCACCCCAGGACACACCACCCUGGAGGCAUUGCCAUGAGAGUCAUGGCAACAUCUCAGCAGGUGGUUUUCAGGGGAAGAGCACUUAAGGCCAUGGAUGUGAAUGCUCUCUCUUUUCCCAGGCCCUUCAGCGAUUUAUAAUGCUUUCUGUUCAGGUGUAUCUGAAACAGGUAUUACAAGGUACACCGCUCCUGCCGCUCCCUCCUGCAAGGCUGAGGUGCAGGGCAGGUAGUCCCCUCCUCCCUGAGGGGCUUCUUCCAUCUGUGCUUCCUGCACUGUGGGGCUCCAGGCUGUUUGCAGAGAUGGCACAUUGACCAUUUUUGAUGCACAUUGACCAUUUUUGCUUCUUGCUGUACACCAGUGACCCCUGGCUGCUUUCCCACUGAUGUAGCUCACCAUGCCUGUGGGAUGUUGAGGUGGCAGGGGACAGCAGCUGCUGGGGAUGUGGGGGGAACAGCCAGCUGCUGCCUCAGCCCUGCUGCCUGGGGGGAUGCUGGAUGGAGAUGUGGGGGGCAGGAGGGGACAGAUGCCUCCAAGAAGGAGCUGGGCCACCACGCUCACCUUCCUCCAAGCCCAUCUGCCCCUGCUCCUCUGCUGGGGAGGAUUUCAUGCAUGUAAACAAGCACCAGGGAAGUUUAAUCCAGCUGGCUUGGGAGCUGUUAGGCAGGGAAUUGCCACUCCAACCUUUAAUCACCUGAGCAAGUGCCAGGUGGGCCUGAAAAGUUCAGUUUGAAAAUGACAGCAUUGCAGAGAAAGGCAGAGGUUUUGUCCAGCAUUGAUCCUGGCUGGCAGCUCCCUUGUGAGGAAUGGGCUGUGCUGCAUGUGGUCCUUCAGUCUGCUCAGGCCACUGCUGAUGUGCUGGUCUUGGAGGGGCUCCAUCUCUGGCUUGCAGGAAGAGAAGCACUUGUCUGGGCCCUUGUCAGGGGAAAUCCCGAGGCCUCUGAAGCAUGUGGCCAGGUCUACUCCUCUUCCACACUGUCCUACAACAGCAGGAAUAUUGUACAAGGAGGUGACUUAGGCAGUACUGUGAGUUUUCACAGCACAUGGCACACCCUCAACUGAAAAUUUGCAUAAAUACCUUUCCAAGUAACAAGUAUUUUCUAAAUAGAACCAAAAUCACAUGAGAGGCAGGGAGGGGCAUUUACGGGAAAGGCAGGUUUGCUGCAUUUGGAUCUCAUGCAAGAAAUGGGAUUAGUACUGUCCACAGAAGUUAGAGCAUGAAUUUUAAGGGUCUGGUUGAGGAAGUUCCUUAGCACAGAUGGAAUGACCUUGAUGCUUUUGACCUGACAAAGGCAGUUAAUGCCAAGAAUUAAUGCCAGUUUUUGUGUCCACAAGAAGAGACCAUUUGUCCCGAUGACACCUCUUCAGGACACAUCCAAGUGAGCCCAAGGGACCAGAGAGAUCCCCACAUGGUAUAGUGAUGAUUGCUGUUGAAGACUGCAACCAAAACCCAGGAGCCACCCUCUUCUGGAGAAAGAGUUUGAGAGGUAGAGAGGAGGCAGGGGAGAAGUCUCACCAGGUCCAACCCAAAGGAGAUGAGCGGGUUUGAGCUAUGUUUGCACUGUCUGGCCAGGAAGAGAGGGCUCAUCUCUGCCACAAAGCUCUCAGUGUGGUUUGUGCUGAAGUGGGAUCCCACAUCUGGGAUCUACCCAAGAGCUACAUCAUACUGUCUUAGAGAUAGGAAGGCUUCACAAAGGGAAGACUUUGAAUCAGGAGUCCGCUGUGCAUUGCAACAUUUAUCACUGUGAUUCACGUACCUCCAGUGUUACUGCAAAUCCAGGCAAAGUGUGAAAUUAUUCUCUUCUCUUAUCUUUGAGGAAAUGCAACGUGCUCCAACCACACUGACUCUGAAAGUCAGUUCUGCCCUGCUUUGAGCCACAGAAAUUGUCAGGAUUUUUGAAAAAGCUCAACAAACCUCAACACCACAAUCUAGCCAAUUAAUUUUGAAGUGCUUUGGGAAUAACUCGGGAUUUUUUCUCUUCAUCUUAUGCAGUUCCAUAGAAACCCUUGGAGUUCUGCAGGUACGUACUAAGUUAUGAAGGAGCUGGAGGCACUAAGAGAGCUGGAACAUGAUUAACAACUGUCAAAUUACAGGGAACACUUUAAAAUCCCUUAUACCUCUCCCCUCCCCUACUUCAUCCUGGCAACUAGGACAAGAGCCUUUGGCUAGGCUGUCUUUCCCUGAGGCAGUCCCUUCACUUGAAGGAGGAGAUGAUCUGAAACCACAGGCAAGGGGUUCAAAAACGUCAUGACAAAAUCCAAUGACAUGGAAAAAAAGAAGAGAGACUGGGUGAGCUGUAGCACAGAGGAUCAUGUGUAUGCCAUCACCAGAGUCUUCAGACUUUCAUCAUAACCACAGCUUGACUGCCAGGUAAACCACCUGCUUUUGUAUUCACAAUUGCAAAAUGUCUCUGCAGCAGCUCUAGCAAUUGCUCAGAGAGGAAAGAAACACUUUUCUUGCAUCCUUAGUAUAGCAGGUGUUUUUACAAAUUAAAGAAAGAAAGAGAUUAAUUCUGCAUUUUAUUUUGGCCCUUUGCUAUAUCCCUGCUCUGUGUCUGAAAUGUUUUCUUUACCAAAGAAGGAGAAGCAGAGGCAGUCAACUUCUUUACAGACAGUGUUUUUAGGUUUAUCAAUGUUAAGGUUGUUUUCUUGUACACAUUUCAGUAUUGUUUUCUGGUUUAGAUAGCAUGGGAUACUUUGUUGCCCUGCUGUCUUUAGCAGAAAAACUUAAGCAGUUUGUUUCUCACUCCUGUUUGCCAUGGAGGCCUCAAUCCCAGAGAAAACUGUAGAAGAAACUCAGUUAAUCAAAGGUUAAACAAAAUGAAUAAAGUUUGUAUGAUGCCCUGAAGGUUAUUAGACUCAAGGUCUGAGCAGCUGCCAAGGGGAGUGAGUUCCAGGGCAGGAGCAUUCAUCUGAGAAAUUCCAGUUGCUGGAUGUGGAGGGGUUGAACCUGGGAGCUGCAGGCGCCUCCCAGCUGAGCUCGGCUGCCAUGGCUGCAUGUGGGUAGGACCCCUGUCCCCUCCCACACUCCCGGUCCAGACAGCAAAUUGAUGGGAGGGCCUGUCCCACUCUGUGGGAGGGCAAUAGGGGCCUGCCAAUUGUUCCAGAUGCCUGGCUGCUUCCAUUGACAGUAUGGAGAGGGCAGGGAGCUCUAAAAUCACAAAGAGAGGCAAUUCCUAGGUGUCAGGGCUGAUAAAAGGGCUCAUGGAGCUACAAGAAAAGUCUGGAAGUGGCACAGAGUCAAGGGAUGCAGCAAGCAGUGCAGUGUGACCAGUGGUCAGCUUUGUGUCCUCUGAGCUGCUCUCUACCCACACAUCCUCCCUAUCAGAGUGAUGCUCUGGAAUGGCAGCUGGUUUAUAUUCCUCUUCAGUCCAGCUUGGAGGAAGAAUUGAAAUCACAGGGUAUGGAUGCAAGAUGGAAACAGACAGGCAAAGUGUUGUGAUGUCCUUUCAACUUCCAAGUGUCUUCCUAGUGGCUCUUUCUGUGAUACAGAAGAAUUUUGACUAAAUGAAGUCAUUAAGUGUAAACUGUAAAAGCAAAGAUAGAGAUGUAUCUGGGUACAUUUGCACUCUUAUUCAUGAUUGUUAAGCAGCAUGUUAAACCUUCUUAUACAUCAGUUUGUGUAUCUGUGCAGCAGUCUUGAUGUUUUAUUCCUCAUUUGUGCCAUAAUUUCAGGAGUCCUUCAUGCCAAGGUAGACACUGAUCUUACUGCAUGUCAGAAUCACAAAAUAUAUGAGAGAGCUGGAAUAAUAAGAAUGUGUGUUUUCUGAAAAAGUAGAAGGUUUCUGGAGGAGGAGUUUUCCCAAAGGGAGCUAAGUUUACAGAUCUAACUCAUUCAGGCCUUUUUCCUUCUGAAGUUGACGCACACAUGCACAAACACACAAGCUCCAGUAUCUAUUUCAUGGACACAUUCUUCCCAUCUCACUGUGUAAAGGUCUUGAAAGCAAUAGCUACUGGCAGUACCCCAAUUCAACAUAUCUAAUAGGUCCUUCCCAGUUUCAAAAUCACUAAGGACACACAUGGCCAAAUGAAAGCAGGGCUUAAACUACCUUGCUGUCAGAAGCAAUGGAACUAGCUGCCUGUCCUUGUAGGCUUGAUUUGUGGGUUCUUUGUUUUUGUAGUCUUGGUUUGCUGACUGCAUCUCAAGAACUGUGUUGCUAGAGCAACUUAGUUAAUCUAACUCCUGGAAGUAACUCCAACUCCAACUGUUGAAUGCAGGACUUUUCAAAAUCUAAUAAUACACUGCAGUGGGUUUUCUUUGUUUCCCAAAUUUUAUGGAUUAAUAUGUUCCAGGUGGAAGGAAAAAGAAUAAAAUUAAAUAUUUGUAAACUACCUCUGACUCAGUGGAUCUGCUCAGAUUUAGGAGGGCAUGGCCUGCCUACAUACUUAGAGAAGAUAUUUUGGAUGAGCAUAAAAUGGCCUUACUGUACUGAUUUAAACACAGCAUUUCCAAUUUACAUCACCUCAGUGUUUGAACCUGAUGUUACAUUUGCAGACAUUUAACCAAGAAGGGACACUGCCUCUCUUCAGCUCCACAUUUGACCGUUUCAGUGUUUGCAUGUGAUUGUGUGUGUACAGAGAUGUGGAAGUACAUGUAUGAUCACAAAAUAGCUAUGCUUUGCCAUGUUUUCCUGUCUGCUUGUGUGGGAAAUCUUAGUGCCAGUAACUAUCAGAGAAAACUUUUUGAUGCAAACAACCGCUGGAGAAAAAAUAUUCCCCCAAAGUGGUCCUUGUGGUUUGCACCUGGUCAGCACACUGUGAAUCUCCAGGCUAACUGGAACAGAGUUCCUUACUGGCUGACAUGCAUUUCCCAGGCCUAAAUUUGUGUUGGAGGAGGUUUUUUUUUUAUUUUGUUGGUAAGUUUGUUUUUUAUGUUGCUGUCCCUCCUUGCAAUUGUCACACUGCUGCUCAUACUUCCCAUCCUAGAGGAACUCUGUCCAGGCUUUAUCUUAGUGGUUUGUAUUCCUGUGGUCAGCACAACAGUUCAGGCUUAUUCUUUUCAACAAAAUUAAUUAUUGUUAGGUUAUCUGGGACUUUGACUCAGAGACUGUAUUCCACUAAUAAGCAUAAUUUUGAAGAGCUUGUGCUUAAAAAGAGUUGUUAUCUACUGCUUACUGGCAGGUUUUGAAUCUUACAUCCCUGUUGAGAUUGAUUUCCUUUACAUGCCUAAUUACUGAUGACACAGUUAGAUAUAGGCUAAAGAGAUAUCUUGCAACUGGAAAAAAAAAGGAAGAAAAAAAGCUUUAAGCCAAGUUCUCUUUGACUUAAACAGAAGGAGGCUUCAUUUUAUUUCAUUUAGUAAAGUCAUCAUGGAAGGGUCCUCCCCCAAGAACUCUCAGCAAUAUGAGGAGUGUGUACAAAACAAGUCCAGACAUCAAACAGGGCAACUCCCAAAAUGUCUCUGCAUUUGUAAACAUGCAUCACAUCUGCUCAGCUUGGCUGUGAGUAUGAAACAUAAAACUUGGGAUAUCUGUCUUAUUAAUUUAAAUGGAUGCUAAUUCAGGCUGUGGCUUGAGGAGAUGAAGGAUGCAGCUGCAGCUGGCUUGAAAAAAUGUUUCAAGAAAAAAAAAAAAGAGACCCUGAAAAAUUAAACAUGUUUUUAUUAAAAUAAAAGGGGAUCAGUUGCCUGAUCUGAUUUGUAGUGUACCCCUAGGUAGGCUAUUUGGAAGAACUGCCUAAGCACUGCUAACACUGUUGUUAACCUUUUGUUGGGAUCAAACAACAAUCUUUGAUCCAAAGGAUGUUCACUGAUGAUAAAAACAUGGAGUGAAAGAGAAAAGCUUCUGUGGCAUUGAGAUAUGUUUCUUUAAUCCAUAGUAUGUGUGAAAAUGGCGGGGGGGAGCCUUUAUUGGGAGGUAUAUUGGAGCUUUAUAACCACCACAACCAUGGACUGGGCUGCUUCAGAAGGUGCACUUUUCCAAACACCAGUAGAAAAGCUUGCAGUGAGAAUGGACACAUAGGAGUUUGUAUGGAUGUAGAGUGGCACAGCUUAUCCUUAAGUUAGAAAUAUUUAUGUAAGUAUAAACAAAUAUUUUUAAAAAAAUCCAUAAAUAAAUAAAAAUAUUAUAGGAAUAUAUUUUACUUAGUCAGUAAAGUUUUAUACCAAUAUAGGUGCCUGUGCAACAGGGAUAGUACUCUUAGAGACUACAUAAACUAAACCAAUACAUAUUUGAUGCAUACUUAUAUAUGCAUAAUUAUAUUUGAUAGAUAAUUAUAACAUGGAGAGUGUAUGGAGAUCAAGCCUGAGAUGUGGUGCAAAGUGAGUGGCCCAAGGUGACCUUCAUUUAUGGUCAGGCACUAUAUGAGGCUCCUGGUUUAAAUGUUACCAUAAUAUUGUAGUCACUACACUCCUGGCUUUGGACAUGUUGGUCCAAAGUUGCUGGAAGAAUGUUUUGGCUGCAGUUGCUGGAUGAAUGUUUUGCCCUACCCCUCCUCUGCAAGUUACAUCUCAAAGAUUUUACUGGCAGAGCUGCUGAUCCGACUUGUCUCAUGCAGCUCUGCUAAAAUAUCUACCUGCACAUCUGACUGUGAAGAAGGUGUCUGUCCAUAGCCACGGGCUUUUGAUUUGAGGCAAAUGUACUGAGUACAAGAAUGAGGUGAUCAAGACUGCUCUGCGCUUCCAAGAGUUUGGCGAUCUGGAAUUUAUUUACAAAUUCAUUGAAUCCAUAAAUACAAGCACAGUUAUCAUGCCAUCAUUGGACUACUUUCACACACUGGUUAGUGUAAAUAUUGUCUCUCUUCCCUCAUGUCAAUAUCUAGUCAGACGCACCAGCCAGGCACACUCUUUUCCAUGCAAAAUGGUCUUUGUAGAAAGAAUUUACACAAUUUUUGAUGGAGAGACAGCAAAUAUGUCACUAGUUAAACAUGGAAAACACUAUUUUGGGAGUACUGCAACCUCCUGGAAAAUGUUGGGCUUCACACUGCAGAUGCCAAAUGCCAUGUAGUGUGAACUCUGUGUGGAUGUUGGUGAGGAAGAAAAGGGAAAGUAAGGCAUGUCCUAACGCAGAAAGUGAAGUCUGCUUCUUAAGGGUGCAAAAAUGCCCUGACCUUUUGCCUUUGGCAAAACCUCACUUUAUACGUGUUCUGUGGCCUGUGUCACUUGGCCAUGUCCCAGGCUCACCUCUAAAAUGUCUAUUAUUUCAGCAAUGGGGUGUGUGCAAGUGUCCUGGAUGAUUAUUCAUGUGACAGCAGUACCCAGAGCCUUUAGCCAGGACUGUAGCCCUUCGUGUUAGGCACAGAGGAAGUACACUGGCAGUCUCACUCUGAACAUCUCCUGGUCUAGAAAGACUGGCAAAAGAGGAGGAAAGGAAAGAGAAGCAGCAGAAAAAAAAUCAUCCAGGGUUGCACAGUGUGGAAACAAGGCAGCAGAGGUUCCUGCUAAUGGGUGGUUGCUGUUUCCUUGCCUUCUCAGCACCCAGUGUUGUGUCACUUAAUGCAGCAGAAAAUAACUUUUGGGUCAUGUCUAGGCACAGGGCUUUUGCAAUGCAGCUCUACUGACUUUUUUCGUGCUGUGACAACCUAAGAGCAUUUCUCAUCCUGUAUGACUGCUGUGCCCUGCUGCCAGAGUGACUGUCCUGAUGCCUGAGUGACAAACAGUUGCAGCAGCUAAGUUUUCACCAUGGAACCUGUGGCUAAAGGAGAGAUCCAGCAAGAAGGAGAAUGAAGGCUUGUGCUUCUGCCAGUUCACUCGCUACUUAGCCCUGGGAGGCAGCUGAUGCCGGCCGGCUGGCUGCCAAGCAGGUCAGGCCUCUGCAGCUGAAACUGCCCGAGAUUCCAGAGCGGGAUGAUGAAUCAGCUGCGUCCUUUAGGGCACAUCCUCUCUUGGACGUGCUGCUGGGAUGUCGUGUCUCUCCGCCGCUUCCCCGUGGUGAGAGUGUGCUCAGAGCUGCUGGCUGAUGACACUGGGUGGGUUGAUGAGUUUGGUUUAACUCUUCCUCCUCCCCCUCAUAAACCGGCUUCGCCUCCUGGUGACGAUAGCAGCUCUAGAUGUCUCAGCGGAGGAGAAGUGCCAGGCUUUGAAGGAAAUGAUGCCUUGUUUGCAUUUGCCUUCUUUUAAAAGCACAAUAAGACAGCUUUGGCUUGAGUGCCCUGAAGGCAGGAGUUCUGAGUAAGGACAGGCUGGUUUUCACUGUGUCCACCCCUGCUCCCAAAAAAAGCCUUGACUCUUGGGCUUGCUGAGUGCAGCUGCUGCAGACCGGAGGCUGCUGUGCCCAGGCUGCCUCAUGCCUGAUGACUCUCACGGCAUAAGAGAUUUUCCUUUUCCAACCUUUAAAAGUUCUUGGGUGUGUUUACACUUCAUUGCUUGUUCAUCCCUGAGGAGAUUUUGCUGGGUAAAGUCCUCCAAAUGUGGAGGGCUGUCCUGUCACUGUUAUGCACUGAAACAAGGUAAUGGUUAUCAGGCACUGGGGAUGGUGAUUAAGAAGCUGACUGUUGUAUUUAUUACCAUCUCCUCCCACAAGCUCCUGCCUUGCUUGUUUGCUUCUGAGGCCUGACUGUACUGCUGUUUGUUGGGAGAACACUGCUCUUUUCCAAGAUGUUUGGUUUUAAAACAAUCAGAAUGUCCCCAGGGUGUUUGGAAGGGGAUGUGCUGUGUCACGAAAGAGUGUUCCCCAUGGAAGGAUUUUUUCCAAGUGACAGGUCAGUUGGGCAGUAAACAUGCAAAGGAGGAUCACCAUUACAAAUGUAAAAGAGCAGAGAAGAGCUGACCCCAACUCUGAGGCAAAGAAACAAGAGAGUGUCUGGACUUCCCUAAAUGCAGGUGCUGCUCCUCACUCUUGGUACCCUUUUGAACAUCAUGUAGAUAAUUUUCUGAGAUUGACAUUAACCUCUUUUCAUAAGCAUGCACAAGCACCAAAUGUUAAAACACACUUCAGGGCUGGAUGGAAAAUUUCUGACCAUGGUUUGCUGUCAGGAAAUGCUGGUUCAGCAGAAGGAAAAAGAUGUCAACUUCAACAGUAAAAAAAAUAUCAGAAAUAAACAAAAAAAUAUGAUACCAAUGACAAAACUCUCCUGGGGGCUUUUUGAAGCAGUGAGGUUUAUUUUUCAGUGCCCUGUUUUUAUUGUUCAUUGACAUGUGGGAUAAAUACAGCCAGAGCAGAGGCUGCACCAUCUUUUUCGCUGUGGUUUUGCUCAGUAUAUUGUGGGUAACAGCUUCUGCAUACCCAACACAUCCUUCCCAGUGCCUACCUGCAAUAACACAGGUACAAACAGUGCAGGUAAAGCAGGAGGAACUUCUUCUGACGUACCAUCUUUCUUAAGGGAGAGCAAAGUGCCUCUGUGAAGCACAAAACUCCCAUGGAGGCAUGCUGGGAUCUGUCUCGGAGGUGGAUUAUCUCCUUCACACCUGCACUUCUGGCCAUGGGGGUUAACUGGUGACCUAGUAAAACCAUUGGCUCUCCUCAGAUCUUGACAUACUCCUUAUUUAUGUAGCUGCAGCUACUUAUGUCUGGUAAUUCUAAAAAUGGCAUUCUUCCUG